UAUCAUUUAGAGGAAGGAGAAGUCGUAACAAGGUUUCCGUAGGUGAACCUGCGGAAGGAUCAUUGUCGAAACCUGCAAAGCAGAACGACCCGCGAACAUGUAUGAAUACAGGACGACACGAAGAAGGGAUCUCGGUCCUUUGUUCGUGUUGCUCUCUGCUGGUGGAUGUAAAUCUUGCCUUGUUUUAGGUCUUGACUUGCACUCCAUCGGCACAAACCUAACCCCGGCGCGGAAUGCGCCAAGGAAAUUACAAACUAAGAAGAGCACUUGCCUUGAUGCCCCGUUCUCGGUGUGCAUUCAAGGGGGUAGAUGCUUCUUACGAAUCACCAACGACUCUCGGCAACGGAUAUCUCGGCUCAUGCAUCGAUGAAGAACGUAGCGAAAUGCGAUACUUGGUGUGAAUUGCAGAAUCCCGUGAACCAUCGAGUUUUUGAACGCAAGUUGCGCCCGAAGCCAUUCGGCCGAGGGCACGUCUGCCUGGGCGUCACACAUCGCGUCGCCCCCCCACAUUACUUGCCCAAAUAGCAGGGAAUAUGUCGGGGCGGAGAUUGGUCUCCCGUGCCUCAUUGAUGCGGUUGGCCUAAACAAAAGUCCCCUUAGACGGACGCAUGACAAGCGGUGGUCGUAAAAAACCCCUCGGUUGGUGUAGUGUGUCCGACGUCUUUAGCGGGUUUAUUUGCAAGACCCCUAUGCUGUUGUCUUUAUUUAUUGACGACGCUUCGACUGCGACCCCAGGUCAGGCGGGACUACCCGCUGAGUUUAAGCAUAUC
Molecule: ribosomal RNA, 770 nt
Filed under: Scaevola taccada (beach naupaka)
Lineage: Eukaryota; Viridiplantae; Streptophyta; Magnoliopsida; Asterales; Goodeniaceae
Description: eukaryotic LSU rRNA
Rfam family: 5.8S ribosomal RNA (bases 332-487)
Source: RNAcentral